RNAcentral lists this ribosomal RNA (3216 nucleotides) under Triticum aestivum (bread wheat). RNAcentral's name for it is "partial small subunit ribosomal RNA". Lineage: Eukaryota; Viridiplantae; Streptophyta; Magnoliopsida; Poales; Poaceae. The record is from RNAcentral.
AUGGCACAAGGAACUAAUAACAUUAUUCAAGGCCUUCAAAAGGUGGCUAGUGAGCUUCAAAACUGGAGUACAAAUAUCUUGGGCGAUCUUGAAAAGAGGUUGAAGAUUUUAAAGAGGGAGUUGGAGGAAGUCAGAAGAAGUGCAAUAUCCCCUCUACAAGUCUCUCGUGAAUUGUUCCUACGUGAGAAGCUCGAGCGCCUGGAACAUCAACGAGACCUUUAUUGGAAGCAACGCUCACAUGUCAAUUGGCUUAAAUCAGGUGACAAAAACACAAAGUAUUUUCAUGCCUUCGCCUCUGAAAGAAAGAAGAGAAAUACAAUCCGCCAGCUAAAAAAUGAUAGUGGGGACUGGGUAGAAGGCGAUGAGAAUUUAAAAAAUCUAAUCAAUGACUACUUUGUGUCUCUGUUUACAGCCCAGGCAGAAGGAAGUAGCCAAGAAGCUUUAAGUUGCAUAGGAAGAAGAGUGGACCAAAGCAUGAACAAUAUUCUGUGCACUGAAUUUUCUGAAGAUGAGGUGAGAGCAGCCCUUGACGCAAUAGGGGACUUGAAAGCACCAGGCCCUGAUGGUAUGCCGGCCCUAUUUUACAAGCGCUACUGGCACAUAGUAGGGGAGAAGAUCACUCAAGAAGCUUUGCGGAUACUGAGGGGAGGAGAGAUGCCGAUGGGGUGGAAUGACACAAUGGUGGUGCUUAUUCCAAAAGUAAGCAGACCUGAGAGUUUGAAGGACCUCCGACCCAUAAGCCUCUGCAACGUAGUCUAUAAGAUAGUUUCUAAAGUGCUGACCAAUAGACUAAAGGUGAUAUUACCUGAUAUUAUCUCUCCGAAUCAAAGUGCUUUUGUUCCGGGGAGAAUGAUCUCGGAUAACAUCCUCUUGGCAUAUGAGCUGACUCAUUUCUUGCAGAAUAAAAGAAGAGGGAAAGCCAGCUUUGCAGCACUCAAACUCGACAUGAGCAAGGCGUACGAUCGAAUUGAAUGGACUUUCUUGAGGGACAUGAUGAUAAAGAUGGGGUUUAACUCUUCCUGGGUCAAGCUCAUUAUGAACUGCGUCACCACGGUUCCUUAUCAAAUAAAGAAAGCGGAGGAACGUGGAAAAAUAAUAGGCAUCAAAGUAUGCAAAAGAGCUCCAAUCAUUAAUCAUCUCCUCUUUGCAGAUGAUUCUUUACUGCUCUUCAAAGCUGAAAAUAGGACUGCAAUAGAGAUAAAUCAUAUCCUGGAGACAUAUGCUGGUUGCUCAGGUCAAGUAAUCAAUAAGGAGAAAUCUGCCAUAAUGUUUAGCAAGAAUACCCAGCAUCAGCAGAAGAAUAUGAUCAUGUCAGCAUUGCAUAUUACAAGGGAGGCAAGAACAGAGAAGUAUUUAGGGCUGCCAGUGUACAUAGGAAGAUCAAAAGAAAAGGCAUUUGCCUACCUCAAAGACAAAAUUUGGAGGAAAGUUCAAGGAUGGAAAGAAAAAAUGCUCUCAACGACGGGUAAAGAGAUUCUAAUAAAGGCCGUAGCCCAAGCAGUCCCGGUCUUUGCAAUGGCAUGUUUUGAUCUGACCAAGACUUUAUGUAACCAGAUUAGUGAGAUGAUCUGCAGAUACUGGUGGAGUAAUAUGGACAAAGAACAUAAAAUCCAUUGGGUUAGUCGGGAACAUAUGAUGCUGCCAAAGAAGGAUGGAGGGCUAGGUUUCAGGGAUCUCCAUGUGUUUAACAGAGCCAUGUUAGCGAGGCAAGCAUGGAGCUUAGCAAAUGCGCCCAACUCUCUUUGCGCUAGAGUUCUAUCUGCGAAAUACUACCCAUCAGGUCAGAUUAUUAGAGCAGUGCCAAAGGAUGGCAUGUCUUAUUCGUGGAGAAGCAUCCUUAAAGGAGUUCAACUGCUAAGAGAAGGUGUAAUCUGGAGAAUAGGCAAUGGUGAGAAGGUGAACAUAUGGAAUGACCCAUGGAUCCCACGAGGUAAGAGUAGAAAACCUGCCACUCCCCAAAGAAGGAAUGUCAUCCUCCACAAAGUCUCAGGACUAAUUAACCCAGUAGAUGGUGAUUGGGAUGAAGACCUAAUAAAACAAACGUUUAAUGAGAAAGAUGCAGAGGAAAUUCUGCAAAUACCAAUCAGCGAAGGAAACGAGGACUGGCUUGCAUGGCACUUUGAUAAAAGGGGCUUAUUCUCUGUGAAAUCAGCUUAUCAAGUGGCCAUUGAAACAGAUGCAAGGAAGUCUAUCCAUGGUAUUUCUUCUGCAUCUAGCACAACAGCUGACCACUUACCCUUUGAGUGGGAGAAAAUAUGGAGGCUUCCACUACCGGCAAAAAUCUUGCACUUUUUAUGGAGAAUGGCAAGAAACAGUCUGCCAUUGAGACAAAAACUAAUUCAGCGAGGAGUUAAAGCAGACCCAUGGUGCCCAGUAUGCUUACGUACUGACGAGGAUGGAGGGCACACCUUCAAAUGCAAACCAGUGAAGCACAUAUGGAGGGCGGCUCAAAUGGGGGAUAUAAGGGAAAAUCUUAGCAUUUGUUGUAGCCCGAAAGAUGUGCUCAUUCGAAUUUUUGAGCUUGAUCAGAGGAAGAGUGCAAGAGCAAGUAUUCUUAUGUGGCUUUGGUGGCACGAGAGAAAUAAAGCUAAUAAAGGAGAGGCUAUAAGAAGUACAACUGAAAUUCUAGAAUCCCUCGAAAAGCAUGAUAGAGAAUCUGACAAGUUUUUUAAGAGGAAAUGUACUAAAAAAACAACGACCAAGGAUAGUUGUUGGAAACCGCCAGAGGAAAAUUAUCUAAAGAUAAAUAUAGACGGAGCCUUCACAAAGGACACAAAGAAGGGAGGAUGGGGUUUCAUUAUCAGAAACUCUGAAGGAGGAGUAGAAGCAGCAGGGGCAGGGAGAUUGUCAAGACUCUCUGAGGCAAUUCAAGCAGAAACAAUUGCCCUGUUAUAUGCCGUGGAGAGAGCAAGUGAGUUGGGAUGCAGGAAUGUAAUCUUCGAAACGGAUGCAUUGGUGCUGAAACAAGCUAUUGACGGAGACGCCUACGAUAAUUCAGUUUUCGGUGCCCUGUUUCGAGAAGCAAAGUUUAAACUCUUGUACUAUUUUCAGUCUGCUUUUAUCAAUUGGUGUCCCAGGUCCUGUAAUGUAGCUGCCCAUAAGCUAGCGUCAUUUGGCGCGAGUUUGGUUGAGCCAGAUAUAUGUAUGUGGUUGUCAGAUGUACCAAACUUUGUAACCGAAGCGGUUGCCAGUGAUUUUGUUGGCCCGUAUGUGUAA